GAAUAAUGGAUGUAAUACCAAAUCUAGAAUAAAGUGAUUGUCGAUCCAAAUACGAUAUUGAACAAGAAAAAAAUAAAUAGUUUUAGAUUCCUCCACCACACCACAUAGCACAAGAAUGAUGGUCUUGUAUUCCUAAGACACAUCUCUUACCCAAUGAGAAGUGAGUUAUUUAUUAGCCAAAUAUUCUAUUCUUCUUAUGGCUAGAUCCAAUCUCCCGGUCCCUACAAAAAGGAAAAAGAAUUUCACAUUCUUCCUUUCAAGGAAGGAGGAUUAGGAAAAUCAUUUUGAUUGUAAUUUUCUGUCGACCCCAAAAAAGCAUGAAGAAAAGGCUCAAAUGAUACAAUCCCACCAUCACCCAAAAAGAAAGG
Molecule: long non-coding RNA, 368 nt
Filed under: Lupinus angustifolius (narrow-leaved blue lupine)
Lineage: Eukaryota; Viridiplantae; Streptophyta; Magnoliopsida; Fabales; Fabaceae
Description: long non-coding RNA (LANG_LNC000864)
Source: RNAcentral